CUAGCAUGAUGUCACAAUGAAGACUCCAUUAGAAGGAUACACACCGAAAUUCAGCAAAGGUUAACAACCAGAACAACAGAACAUAAAAUGGAGAAAAGAAAAUAAGAUUGGGUCCGCAUAGCAGUCCAGGUCAUAAUAGCAUCCUUUCAACUAAAAGUUGUGCUUCUCACACUCAUCUCUAUUGCUGUGGACAGUCACAGCAAUUCUUCCCACGGGACUCUUGGUGCCACACUUGCUGGCAUAUCAAGGGUCAGAACCACACUCACAGAUCCUCAUCUGUGGGGCAGCAGCUGUAGAUCAUCACUGUUGACCCUGGUCAAGUUUGGAGGAUGGUGGAAAAGCAGCAGGAUUGUGGAAGAAACAAAGUCUUUUCCCUGGAUGACCCAACAUCUCUGGUGAAUGGGUAGAGUAUAAGCUUAUCUUUUGCUAUUUUGUUGUUUCUGAGCUUGGGAAGGAAAGUAAACCUGUGGAUUCCCAGUACACAUCAAGCUUGGAGGCCUUUUAAUCACAUCAUUUGACGAUCACAAAACUCUCCCAAGUCCUUUAAGUAUGUUAAUGAUCUGAGAUUUAAUCUAUAUUCUUACCUAGCUUGCACAAACCUAUAAAUAGGCUCAUCUCAGGGUUAUUGCUGUUAUAAAUUAAUUAUGGAAAUGUCAACCAAAUCAGGUAGGUGCCAGCGGAGUAAUGGGAGGGCAGCGAUCCACUAAGCAGAGGGCGAUUCUGAGGAUGCCCUCUGUGCAAAGUUCACAGCCUCUGGCCAGGAUCCAUCGGCUUCCAGGGAGUUUAACCUUGAAGACACUCUGGGUUUGUUUCCUCCUGAGUAAUGGAGGGAGACUGGAAAAGUGACUUCUAUGACUAGUUCUGUGCCUUCCUCUUCACAGAACCUGUUGUUUCUUUUCCCUCACUGGGAACUGUAGGCAAAUUUGGCAGGCCUGCCUUUUUUCAAAUACGAUGACAGAUAAUCUGGAGCUUAUCUAUAUUGGGCUAAUGUUAGCUACACCACUACCCCUCACUGAUCCCACUGUUGGCAACUGAAAACUUUGGCUGGGGAAAGAAAAGGUGAGUAAUUACUGAUUCAUUUGAAAGGAAUGUUUUCCACAGAGAGGACAUAAUUGUUCUCAUGAAGCCUGGAGCCAGCCUGGAAUUGUCUAAAGGUGUUGGGAGGUCAAAAUAAAUUGUGUACUUGGACAGCAAUUUCUUUCCACAGGUCAAAGUAGCGAGAUUUUAUCCAAAGUCGCAUAUCCUAGAGGACUUACAGGAAACUCUGCAAAGACCUGGCAUCCUCACUGACAGAAGGGAGAGGCUAUUUCAACUUGAAAUUGCUGCCCUUUGGGAGGUGUUCUGGAGUCUCCAGCUCUGAACACAAAUUCAAGUUCUGUGGCUCAGGAAGGGAUAUAACAGUAUGCUCACCACAAUCGCAGUUCACUGAGCGACCUCA
This is a non-coding RNA of Macaca mulatta (Rhesus monkey), 1438 nucleotides long. Lineage: Eukaryota; Metazoa; Chordata; Mammalia; Primates; Cercopithecidae. The record is from RefSeq and is a predicted model, not a curated record.